Cyprinus carpio (common carp) is the source of this 561-nucleotide long non-coding RNA. RefSeq lists it as uncharacterized. The transcript is spliced from 3 exons. The record is from RefSeq and is a predicted model, not a curated record. Lineage: Eukaryota; Metazoa; Chordata; Actinopteri; Cypriniformes; Cyprinidae.
CUGUAUGGUGACAGAGGAAGGCUGUGGUUAUUUGUCUUCAGCUCUGAGUUCAAACCCCUCACACCUGAGAGAGCUGGAUCUGAGCUACAAUCACCCAGGACCAUCAGAAGUCCAGCUGCUCCAACACAAACUGGAGGAUCCAAACUAUAAACUGGAGAAACUCAAUUUGGACCAUGGAGGACAUUUCAGGAUCGUUCCAGGACUGAAAAAAUAUGCCUUUGAUCUCACACUGGAUCCAAACACGGCACACACUCGUCUCAUUCUCUUUGAAGGGAACAAAAAACAAAAUGUGUUAAAGAGCAUCAGCCGUAUCUUGAUCAUCCAGAGAGAUUUGAGCGCUUUAAGCAGGUUCUGUGUGAAGAGAGAUUGACCGGAUGCUGUUACUGGGAGGUUGAAUGGAGCGGCUGGAGUCAUGUAGCAGUGUCAUAUAAAGGAAUCAACAAGAAAGAAGGAAGUGACAGUCGGUUUGGACUCAAUGACAAGUCCUGGAAUCUUUACUGUGGCAAUAAUAUUUAUUCUGUCUGGCAUAAAAAUAAGAGCACAAAUAUUCCUUCCCCUUCA